AACGAACGCUGGCGGCAUGCCUAACACAUGCAAGUCGAACGAAGCCUUCGGGCUUAGUGGCGCACGGGUGCGUAACGCGUGGGAAUCUGCCCUUGGGUUCGGAAUAACAGUUAGAAAUGACUGCUAAUACCGAAUGAUGUCUUCGGACCAAAGAUUUAUCGCCCAAGGAUGAGCCCGCGUCGGAUUAGCUAGUUGGUGAGGUAAAGGCUCACCAAGGCGACGAUCCGUAGCUGGUCUGAGAGGAUGAUCAGCCACACUGGGACUGAGACACGGCCCAGACUCCUACGGGAGGCAGCAGUGGGGAAUCUUAGACAAUGGGCGCAAGCCUGAUCUAGCCAUGCCGCGUGAGCGAUGAAGGCCUUAGGGUUGUAAAGCUCUUUCGUGGGGGGAAGAUAAUGACGGUACCCCAAGAAGAAGCCCCGGCUAACUCCGUGCCAGCAGCCGCGGUAAU
RNAcentral lists this ribosomal RNA (451 nucleotides) under uncultured bacterium. RNAcentral describes it as "bacterial SSU rRNA". It matches the Rfam family "Bacterial small subunit ribosomal RNA", at positions 29 to 524 of the family's 1533-position model. The record is from RNAcentral.